ACUUAAUAAAAGGUUAAUUUUAACUAUGAAUUGUAUUUAAAAGUUGUGAAAUUCUCUUUUUAUUUUGUUGGGGCGACAUUGAUAUAAGCUGUAACUGUCUUGAUAAUAAAAUAGUUAUCACUAUAAGCUGAUCCUUUUUUAGGGAUAAUAAGUAUAAGUU
RNAcentral lists this ribosomal RNA (160 nucleotides) under Palaemon orientis. Its description in RNAcentral is "partial 16S rRNA". Lineage: Eukaryota; Metazoa; Arthropoda; Malacostraca; Decapoda; Palaemonidae. The record is from RNAcentral.